UCUCAGAAGGAAGCCUGGAUUUCCCGCCCAGGGGCCAGGAGGCAGCAAAGGAGCUGGGCGCCGCUCAGCUGGACCAUAGCCCAGCAGUCUUGGGCUGGACUUGUCCCUGACACUGCUGCCUCGUCCUCACUGGGCCUCGGAGCCUUCAUGGGUCUGCCACUUCCCUGGCCCCCAAGAUAUUCCCCGUGCCGGCUGAGGUGGGAGACACAGGAAGUCUGACUCCAUGAUGAAAGUAAUCUCACGAAGGACCCCUGGAAAGAAGUUCACCGUGCUGCUUCCCGGGAAAUUGGAGAGUGAUUUUGGAGCCAAACUAACAAAGUUUCAACCCUGGCCUGGGCCUGGUUUCCUCAUCUACAGGAUGGAGUAAUAGCCGCUUGAAAGAGGAAACCAAAAACUAUCGUCACAUUAACAGCCAGACAUGCAGAGCCUAGCAGAUGCCUCAUCCAGAAAAGGUGCUCAACAAAUAGUCUUUGAAAGAAAAAAAAGAACAAAUCCAAAUUACAACUAAAGCUUCUAGCAUUGUGACAGAAGAAAAAUUAGUAGCAAGCAUCAUUUCCGUCAUCAUGCUCAUUGUCACUACCAUGGUUCAGAGCCACAAAGAACAAUUUUCUUGCUCUAACAGAAAACCAGUUCAAAUGUCAGGUCCUGCCAACAGUGGGGGAAGUGGUGCAACAGCCUCAGUGUCAGAGAAGAUGUUUAUACAACCCCUCCCUACCCAUCUCGAGCCUCGGUUACAUUGAUCUGUCCAUCCUUUCUGAGCCCUGGUUCCCACCCUGACUCAGCCCUCUUUGACCAGCCCAUCACAGAUAGGAAAGGAAUCGCGCUCAGUUCCCCUGACUGAAAUUUGAUCUCUGACCACAGAGCCAGUGACUGUGCCUUUUUCCAGAGAAGUCCCGUAACAGGCUCCUCUGCUCCCCUGACCAUAUCAAGGAAGACUGUCCCUGGGACAGAUAUUAUCUCCCCAUGACAUUCAGGAAUUUACACAGGGCAUUUCGCCAAAGGCAUAAACUACUGUUUCCUUGAAUCACCAUGACUCCUAUCCAUGUUUUAUCUACUUACAGGACCACACAGCUAUGAACAGAGAUCAUGUAUCAAUAACUGCUACUCUCAGAAGGCCUGACAUAGAGUAAAACCUUAAUAAUUACUGAAUGAAUAUAUGAAUGAAAAAAACAAGGGUGUACCUGAGCAUUCCCAGGCAGAACUGCCUGUUUUCCUCCUUUAGGGGAUGUAAUUUCUCCUAUUUACUGAAGACAUUCUUCCUGACCCUUCAGAGAUUCCAGAGGCUAAUAACCUUCAGAGUCAAAAGGAUCAUUUUUCCUUGUCUAACUUAAAUUUUUCAGGAUGCAGCUUGGGUCAUUGGGACUAAAACCCACCGCUUUGCAAGGAGACAGUUAUUAAUUUACUCUUUUAGCCUUUUCUCCAACAAAUUUAAUGCCAGGUCCUUCACUUUUCUCUCCCUAGGGUCCUAUUGUCUAGCUCUUGCCCUGUUCCCCUGUUCUUUGGCCUUUUGCCAAGAUCUCAAAGGCCUCCUUCAGCUGCACAGACAGGAAUGGGACACAUUGUUCUCCACACACAGAUGCCUACGCACAAAAGACCAGCAUCUCUGUGUACCUAUUAUCCUCAGUCCUGGGUAAACACACUCGCAGGCAGCGCCUUACACGGUCACAGGUUCAUUCUCUCCUACGUGCACCCGUCUGAACCCUACUCUGGUGGAUUCUAGCACAUCUAGACGCACUUACAUGCAGAAGAAUAGGCUGCACAGACACAUUCUUUUUACCCACAGCCCCGUGUUGGACUGAGACAGCAACAGCACAGCCUCAGUUGGAGGCUCAGCCACAUCGACCCGGGCUUCUCCAAUCCCCGCUCCACGACUUUACUGGGUAUGUGG
Molecule: long non-coding RNA, 1888 nt
Organism: Chinchilla lanigera (long-tailed chinchilla)
Lineage: Eukaryota; Metazoa; Chordata; Mammalia; Rodentia; Chinchillidae
Exons: 4
Source: RefSeq, a predicted model, not a curated record